Molecule: ribosomal RNA, 497 nt
Filed under: uncultured bacterium
Lineage: Bacteria
Description: partial 16S ribosomal RNA
Rfam family: Bacterial small subunit ribosomal RNA
Source: RNAcentral
GAUGAACGCUGGCGGCGUGCCCAAUACAUGCAAGUCGAGCGAACAGACGAGGAGCUUGCUCCUCUGACGUUAGCGGCGGACGGGUGAGUAACACGUGGAUAACCUACCUAUAAGACUGGGAUAACUUCGGGAAACCGGAGCUAAUACCGGAUAAUAUAUUGAACCGCAUGGUUCAAUAGUGAAAGACGGUUUUGCUGUCACUUAUAGAUGGAUCCGCGCCGCAUUAGCUAGUUGGUAAGGUAACGGCUUACCAAGGCAACGAUGCGUAGCCGACCUGAGAGGGUGGACGGCCACACUGGAACUGAGACACGGUCCAGACUCCUACGGGAGGCAGCAGUAGGGAAUCUUCCGCAAUGGGCGAAAGCCUGACGGAGCAACGCCGCGUGAGUGAUGAAGGUCUUCGGAUCGUAAAACUCUGUUAUUAGGGAAGAACAAAUGUGUAAGUAACUAUGCACGGCUUGACGGUACCUAAUCAGAAAGCCACGGCUAACUACGUG